RNAcentral lists this transfer RNA (92 nucleotides) under Chloropicon primus. Its description in RNAcentral is "tRNA-Asn". Lineage: Eukaryota; Viridiplantae; Chlorophyta; Chloropicophyceae; Chloropicales; Chloropicaceae. The record is from RNAcentral.
CUCACCCAGGCGGGGUCGAACCGCCGACCUCCCGAUUUCUCCCGAUGAGGGGAUAACAGUCGGACGCUCUAACCAAACUGAGCUAUGGGUGA